Molecule: small nuclear RNA, 107 nt
Organism: Vombatus ursinus (common wombat)
Lineage: Eukaryota; Metazoa; Chordata; Mammalia; Diprotodontia; Vombatidae
Source: Ensembl
GUGCCUGCUUUGGCAGCACAUAUAGAAAAAUUUGAAGGAUACAGAAAACAUUAGCAUGGCCCCUAUGCAAAGAUAACGCACAAAUUUUUGAAGCUUUCCAUAGUUUC